Molecule: ribosomal RNA, 203 nt
Filed under: uncultured bacterium
Lineage: Bacteria
Description: partial 16S ribosomal RNA
Rfam family: Bacterial small subunit ribosomal RNA
Source: RNAcentral
CUGUAGGCUGCAACUCGCCUACACGAAGUCGGAAUCGCUAGUAAUCGCGGAUCAGCAUGCCGCGGUGAAUACGUUCCCGGGCCUUGUACACACCGCCCGUCACACCAUGGGAGUCGGAAAUGCCCGAAGUCUGUGACCCAACCUACGGGAGGGAGCAGCCGAAGGCAGGUCGGAUGACUGGGGUGAAGUCGUAACAAGGUAUC